AGUGAACGCUGGCGGUAGGCCUAACACAUGCAAGUCGAACGGCAGCACAGUAAGAGCUUGCUCUUACGGGUGGCGAGUGGCGGACGGGUGAGGAAUACAUCGGAAUCUACUUUUUCGUGGGGGAUAACGUAGGGAAACUUACGCUAAUACCGCAUACGACCUACGGGUGAAAGCAGGGGAUCUUCGGACCUUGCGCGAUUGAAUGAGCCGAUGUCGGAUUAGCUAGUUGGCGGGGUAAAGGCCCACCAAGGCGACGAUCCGUAGCUGGUCUGAGAGGAUGAUCAGCCACACUGGAACUGAGACACGGUCCAGACUCCUACGGGAGGCAGCAGUGGGGAAUAUUGGACAAUGGGCGAAAGCCUGAUCCAGCAAUACCGCGUGGGUGAAGAAGGCCUUCGGGUUGUAAAGCCCUUUUGUUGGGAAAGAAAAGCAGCAGGAUAAUACCCCGCUGUUCUGACGGUACCCAAAGAAUAAGCACCGGCUAACUUCGUG
Molecule: ribosomal RNA, 492 nt
Filed under: uncultured bacterium
Lineage: Bacteria
Description: partial 16S ribosomal RNA
Rfam family: Bacterial small subunit ribosomal RNA
Source: RNAcentral